Molecule: ribosomal RNA, 253 nt
Filed under: uncultured bacterium
Lineage: Bacteria
Description: partial 16S ribosomal RNA
Rfam family: Bacterial small subunit ribosomal RNA
Source: RNAcentral
UACGUAGGGUGCAAGCGUUAAUCGGAAUUACUGGGCGUAAAGCGUGCGCAGGCGGUUGUGCAAGACAGAUGUGAAAUCCCCGGGCUUAACCUGGGAAUUGCAUUUGUGACUGCCCGGCUAGAGUGUGUCAGAGGGGGGUGGAAUUCCACGUGUAGCAGUGAAAUGCGUAGAUAUGUGGAGGAAUACCGAUGGCGAAGGCAGCCCCCUGGGAUAACACUGACGCUCAUGCACGAAAGCGUGGGGAGCAAACAGG